Molecule: long non-coding RNA, 491 nt
Organism: Syngnathus acus (greater pipefish)
Lineage: Eukaryota; Metazoa; Chordata; Actinopteri; Syngnathiformes; Syngnathidae
Exons: 4
Source: RefSeq, a predicted model, not a curated record
GUGGAAAUGACCCGUCAUCGCCCACCCAACAGGAAGCUAAACGACGAAAAACGGAGUGCAGCAGCUUUGCACUUGGUCAAAACGAUUUCUGGUUGCUUACGACGAGAAGAGAAAACAAAAGGAAGUCGACAUGGGAGGCACUUCAUCUGUUCCAGCCGGAGCUAUGCUUUAUCCAUCCCCUGCUGCGACCACGAUUGGUUAUGACGUAAACCCGAACAUCAACAUCCUGGCUCCAUCUCCUGGAGCAGGGCCAGCUGGAGCUGCUUUAGCACCUGCAAGCCCUAGCGCUGCUCCCCCACCCACCCCUGGCCAUGUGAUGUCCCUGUUCUGAGUCCUCACAAUGGAAUCUCCUCAAACCUGUUCACCAUUUUCAAUGGCCUGUUCUCAUUACAAAGAAAACAUUACAAGCUAAAUUCAAUGGAAUCGUUUUGCUAAAGAAAAUGUUAUGUGGUAUUUUUGUGUGAAAGUCCACAAAUAAAAAAUGAGACUUA